RNAcentral lists this ribosomal RNA (253 nucleotides) under uncultured bacterium. RNAcentral describes it as "partial 16S ribosomal RNA". It matches the Rfam family "Bacterial small subunit ribosomal RNA", at positions 524 to 776 of the family's 1533-position model. The record is from RNAcentral.
UACGCAGGGUGCAAGCGUUGUCCGGAAUUACUGGGCGUAAAGAGCUCGUAGGCGGUCUGUCGCGUCUGCUGUGAAAACUCAGGGCUUAACCCUGAGCUUGCAGUGGGUACGGGCAGACUAGAGUGCGGUAGGGGAGACUGGAAUUCCUGGUGUAGCGGUGAAAUGCGCAGAUAUCAGGAGGAACACCGGUGGCGAAGGCGGGUUUCUGGACAGUUCCUGACGCUGAGGCACGAAGGCCAGGGGAGCAAACAGG